UCAUGUUCCAACUUAAUUUGUAAGAGGAUAGACAAUAGUCAUAAGUCAGAACAGAAAAUAAGUACACUCAUGUUGAACUUUUAUUUGUGAAAUUAUAUUACACAAUAGGGGGAGGAAAGAAAAGCCAGCCACCGAUGACUUAAGAUCAACAUGUCUAGCAAGCUUAAAUUUUGCAGCUACACAGCCCAGAACUCAACUAGCCUUUUUCACCGAUGUGAGUGAACCAGAUGAGAAACUCACAGAAUCGUACUUUUGGAAAAUGUAAGCCACAAUCAAAGAAGCAGUUAGAGUAACCAUAUCUUUAGCAGCACAUUGCUUGUUUGAUUCAGUAGGUCUCCCAGUUUGUGGACCAUUAGACCAAAACAGAUAAUUCAGCAAUUCUUUCCCUUUUUCCUUUGUAAAUCUCUCCAACACAAACUUUUCAGGUUCAUCAAACACCUUUGGAUCUUUCAUAACUAAAGGCUGAUAACCACAAAGAAGUUCCCCUUUCUUGAUUUCGUAAACUGAAUCAUGUGAACUCAGUUUAAAAUCUUUUCUUGCUCUUGCAUAUUGACUUGGUACUGGUGGACUAAGCCUAAGUGUUUCAUAAACAAAAGACUGAACAAGUUCCAUUUCUUUAACACUUUCAAAACUCAAGUUUUCUGGAUUUACGCCGACUUUGUCUCUCACUUCUUUUCUCAGUUUCUCUUGCAUAUCCGCGUUUUUCUCAUCUCCAAGAUUUCCCAAAAGAGUUGGCAAGAAAAUGGAGAAGCCACCAAAAGCAUUGAACCCAAGAAUGAACAAAAGGUUAUGAAUGGCUUCUUGUUCUGUGAGUUGAAACUCUGUUUGUGCCCUGCUUAAAACUUCCUUGGCUUCAUUUUUGACGAAUUGAACGAGUUUUUCAUAAUUACCUUUGACAAGAAAAAAAGGGUAUGCAAAAGAAUGGACUAAAAUUUCUUCAAGAGGUUGAAGGACACCAAUGCUGACAGUAGGUGCUAAUUGAAUAGCUAGCCAUGAAUCAAGAAAGAUGUAGCCAGAAUUGGCGAUUUCCGGGGAGACAGAUGGAUCAGCGCCGAGGAUAGUGAGGGAGAAGAAGUUAAAGAGGAAUUUUUGGAGUGCAGGAAGAAGAGAAGCUGUAUUGGAUUUUGAAAGAUCUGCUUCAAAAGUUGUAAACAUUGUAUCAAGCUCUUUAAGUAGUGUAGGCACCCAUGUUUUUGAGCCUCUUUUUAGAAUAUCCUGUGAAAAAUUCUUAAUCUGGGCAUGUUUAGGUUCAGAAGUAUCGAGAUAAGCACAAACACGCAUAUCUCCAGUAUAAACAACACUGGGCAUGAAAUCCCCAACAAGCACAUUAGCUUUCUCUACAAUCUCCAUAUCAAACAGAUGCGAAAACGAUUUCACAUCUAAAACCGCCACCACAUUUGGAUUCACACUACCGAAAAACGGAAAACACGGCGGCACGUUCGUUCUGAAAACCGUGCUCUUGUGCUUUUCCAUUCUCUUGGUGAAGAAGUUUUCCGGUUUUUGGAACCAGAAGUAGUCUAAUCGAUCCGCGAUUGGCCCUACUAACGGCAAUCCGUAGCUGCCCGGAAUCGAACGGACGGGCAGAGUAACCGGCGCCGGAGUUGAUAGAGGAGCAGAAUUCAUUAUCGGUAUCAUUUUAUUUUUUUCGAUCUGCUAAGGGGAUACGAUUGCUUGAGGGGAAUAAAUACGCCGUGUGUCUAUUGUAACGUUUGAUUCAGAAAUUUCAUAGCUCUUGUGUGGAUGUGCUUAUCACUAUGAAACCUAGAAAAUACUAUUUGGAGAGUGAGAUUGGUGAAAAAGGAGAGUUUGAG
This 1811-nucleotide unclassified non-coding RNA is filed under the name Hevea brasiliensis (rubber tree). Lineage: Eukaryota; Viridiplantae; Streptophyta; Magnoliopsida; Malpighiales; Euphorbiaceae. The record is from RNAcentral.